RNAcentral lists this transfer RNA (81 nucleotides) under Borrelia miyamotoi. RNAcentral describes it as "tRNA-Leu". It matches the Rfam family "tRNA". Rfam says of the family: Transfer RNA (tRNA) molecules are approximately 80 nucleotides in length. Their secondary structure includes four short double-helical elements and three loops (D, anti-codon, and T loops). Lineage: Bacteria; Pseudomonadati; Spirochaetota; Spirochaetia; Spirochaetales; Borreliaceae. The record is from RNAcentral.
GCAGGAGUGGUGAAACUGGCAGACACGCUAGACUUAGGAUCUAGUGCUUUUAGCUUGUGGGUUCGAGUCCCACCUUCUGCA